Molecule: non-coding RNA, 94 nt
Organism: Crassisporium funariophilum
Lineage: Eukaryota; Fungi; Basidiomycota; Agaricomycetes; Agaricales; Crassisporiaceae
Source: the annotation of a GenBank genome assembly
UCUCUGUUAGUAUAUCGGUUAGUACACGCGCCUGUCAUAAAUCGUGAUCCGUCAUGUUACGCGCGAAAGCUGGGUUCGACUCCCAGACAGAGAG